UGUCUUACAAUGAGUCAAGACGAGAUGCAUGUAUUGAAAAAAAGAGAGAACGAAUCAGGAAUAGGCAUGGGAGGUGUCUGGACAUUCAGGGGGCGUUUUGUGGGCUAGAAAGAAACUUGUACCUGUCUGGCUUGGGCGACUGGCUGGACAGCUGCAUAAACCAAUGGAAACCCAUGCAGAUGGAGCUCUCGCCGGCACAGCGUGGAC
Molecule: long non-coding RNA, 207 nt
Filed under: Setaria viridis
Lineage: Eukaryota; Viridiplantae; Streptophyta; Magnoliopsida; Poales; Poaceae
Description: long non-coding RNA (SVIR_LNC008499)
Source: RNAcentral